UGUUAAAAAAAAGAAAAAAGAGCCAACUCAUAAUUCAGAACAUAACAGAGUGGUAUAGACUUUGCAUUGGGCCCUAGUGUUGAAUUCACUGUGCACUUUCCUUCAUAAUUGAGCUCUAGAAUACCAUGAAAGAUACUACGAUGCAUAUGUGAUAUAUAAUAAAGGAAUUAAAAUAGAGUGUUGUUAAGCCAUCUAAUUUUACAAUAAAUCAUGCAAAAUUUCAGAUACCUACUCGAAUAUUCAAGGACAUUGUUAAUUUCACAAAGGUGUAAAAUGUAAUUUAACAUAUUUUGUCUAUUACACCAACAUUCUAAAAUGGCACAUUUAUCUAGAAUUUUAAGAAAUUCAUGUAGAGUAAACCAAUGAGGAGAAAUUUGUAUUCGUAUAGUCAAUUUAUUUAUAAUAGAGUGUAGUGUUAUAUUAAAUAUUACAAUGGGAAACAUUCCCCAAACUUUAGGAAAAUAUAUUCUUAUGCAUAUCCUUUUAUUAAAUCUUUAUUUAAUAAAAUCUUUAUAUAUUUUCUCUACAUUGCUUAUUAAUUUUGGACUUUCACAUUAAGUGACAUAAGAUAAAAAAAUAAAGUAAAUCAUUGUUCUAGGAUUAGAUAGGGGCAUUUAAAGAAUAUUCAUAAAAUUAUUUUUGAGAGUAAGAUUCUAGAUCAUUCUAGAUCUUUAUAUUGAUAGAGAGAGAAUGUCCGGUUAGAGAGAGAAUGUCCGGUUAGAGAGAGAAUGUCCAGUUUUUUAGUGAGAGAAAAUCAUCGUUUUAAUUUUGAACUUCUGCUUCGUAGCUAUUCUACGGCUGGUGAAGAUGGCCGUACAUGAACGCCUGCAACUUCUAGCCUGCGGUGUUCAGCAUUCCACAUUCAACUCGAGUUCGUCCACCAAAUCAAAUGUUCAAAAAGUCGACAAGGUGAAGAUGGAUUAUGUCGAUCAAGUUGCUGGAAGACCUCAAAAAAAUUUAGUUAUUAGAGAAGGAUUCAGACCUUCGUUGCGUAAAGAAGCUGUGGUAGAAGGCAAAGGAAAAAAUUGUGAUGAAAGUUCAACCAGAUGCGGCAGUUUUUUCAAAACCAAAACCCGACUCUCUACAGAGUACAGGUAAAGAUGCAUCUUCUUCUUCAGGUUUGAUUUUAAAGGUUAAUAAGUUCAUGGGUAAUCAUGAAGAUGAUGAUCAAAAUCAGAUUAACCAUAAUUUAUUGGAUAAGUUUGAAAAUGAUGUGGAUGUUAAUGAGAUAGUUGUUGGGAGCAAUGAAGAGGCAACACCUAAAGACAAUUUCAUUUCUUCUUGGAAGAAACUGCAACACAUCAAACUUAACUAUAAGAUGGAGUCAACACAGAUGACUGAGGAUGGAAUUGUAGUAAAAUUCAAUUCUGAUUUCGAGCGUGCUAAUUCACAAGUUCUAAAGAAUUUGCUUGUGAUCAAAGUGCUAGGGAAUAAUAGUCCAUCUCUUGUAUGUAGCUUGGAGCUCCGAAGGCAAUGGAGUAAGUUUGGGAAUUUUCAUUUAACAACACUUGGAGUUGAUUGGAUUCUUUGUUCUUUCAAAAGCUCUGAAUCAACUGAGGAAGUUUUAAGUGGUGGACCUUGGUAUAUUGCAGAUCAGAUUAUUGUUAUGGAUAAGUGGUCUACCUCAUUCUCCCUGGAAUCAUUAAAGGUCUUACAGCGCCUGUUUGGAUUCGGUUUUCUUUCUUAUCAUUGCAUUAUUUGGAUGAGGAAAAUACUUCUAGAAUUACUUCAAUGAUUGGAUUACCAAUGUAUCUAGAUGGCAAUUCUUUCAAAUGGGGAAAAAGAGAAUUUGUACAAGUAUGUGUCUGAAUUAAUUUGGAAAAUAAAUUUCCAAAGGGAGUGUGGAUAGAAGGACUACAAGGCAGAUCAUUUAAAAAAAGUGGAAUAUGAGAAGAUUACUUCUCUUUGCUUCCAUUGUGAUAAAGUUGGUCAUAUUAGAUCACUUUGCCCUGAAGAUAAAGUUAUGCAUAAGGAGAAGAUUGCUGUUUUGCCUAAUGAAGUAAAGAUGGCUGAGACUCGGGAUAAAAUUGAAGAUUAUCCAAUGAAACAAGAUGAAUAUGGCCCCUAGAUCCAUGUAAAGUUCAGGAAUAAAAGAUUCAAAAAGGUUAAAAAGAAUGCAGAGACAAUGAUGCGAAGAAAGGCUGAAUAUCAACCAACUAUCUCUGAUGUUCAAAAAUAGACUGAAGAAUAGUAGGAUAUUUAAAAAGAAUUGAGGGACAAUGAUUUGGUUUUUGAGUUUUAUUCUAAUACACAGAAAAAGUCUGAUAAUGAUAGUUCUGGAAAGCUUCAGGUUCUUUUUUAAAAAAUAACAAGAUAAUCAAGAACCUGAUAAUAUAAAUGUCAUACAACAACACUAAAUUAUACCUGAUGUUUGUUUAAUGAAUAAAUAUAACAUUUUGAUUGAUGAUCAUGAAGAAGGUGAAGUUAUUGAAGUUGUUGAAGUUGAAGUUAUAAACAAAAUUAAAGAUGCUGCUAUUUGUACUAAUGUAUUACAUGAAGAAGCAUGUGUUUCUACGGCAAAACCAACCAGUCCUUCUAGAAAAAAAUUUGUUAAUGGAGAUCAACCAGAUUAUGAAAAUGUUAGUACAAAUUCAUGUAAAAAUAAACUGGUAAAAGAAUUGAAGUCAUUGGGUUAUGUUGAGGCUGCUCAUAGGAAGAGAAAAGGGGAGGUGAAAUGUGGCAAGAUAGGUGGGGACUCUUCCUCUAUUGGUAAUUAAUGGCUUCCUUUGUGUUCUGGAAUUGUAGGGGUGCUAGAAAGAGGGAGGCCUCUCUAUAUCUUAGAGAGAUUGUGAAGGACCAGGAGUGGUUUUUUAUUGGUCUUAAUGAGACUAAGCUUUCUAGUAUUGAUAGGAGGGAUGUUAAUAGUCUUAUUGGGAGUGACAUGGAUUUUUUUUCAUCUUCCUGCUGAGGGAACCUCGGUGGGAUUUUUGUUUUAUGGAAUAAGAAUGUUGAGUUUUUUGAGGUAGUUGAACAUUCUUCUCAAGUGGUUAUUGGGGUUCUUAAUAUUCCUAUGUUUGGUAUUUGGAAUGUGGCCACAGUUUAAGGUAACAAAGAUUUUCAUGUAAGGAGUAUGUGGGAAAUGCUUGAGAAGUUUUUGUUAGGUAGUAGACCUUCUAUUGUUGGAGGUGAUAUCAAUUGCAUCAAACUAAAGAUGACAAGAGAGGGGGCAAUAGGUUCUUUUUUCCCUAGGGACCUAAAGAGAAGAAGCUUUUAAUAACCAACAAUGAUUUUCAUGAUAUAGGUUUUGUUGGACCAAGAUUCACUUGGUGCAACAAAAAAGAAGGUGCCAUAAGAAUCUGGGAGAGAUUAGAUAGAUGCUUGUUGAUCUCUGAAGAAUUUCAAAAGACACCUAUGGAAAAGAUUAGACAUCAAGCAAGGGUGGCGUCUGACCAUAGUCCUAUUACUUUCAACUUGUUUGAGCCUCUAUACAACCAUUCUAAAAUCAUCUGAUUUGAGGAUACAUGGAAAUCAUAUCAUGCAGCGUGGAAUAUUAUGUUAAAGCCAUGGAAGAAAUCAAAUUUUGGAAGUUAUGUGUAUGUCUUGCAAAGGAAGCUUAGAAGAAUGCUGAAGUCCCUAUUCUUUUGGUAAGAACAAGUGUAAAAGUUUGAACUUGUUGAAGAAAGAAUUGAAAAAAGAAUUUUGGAACUUCAAUUGGAGGAAGCUGCAGAAGAUGGUCUUACAUUGGAAAAGCUGAACUUGCUUAGAAGUAAAUUACAUGAGAUCAAUGUUACUUUAGGAAGGUUAUCUACUUUGUGGAUUCAAAACUAAAGCUAGACGACAUGAAGAGGGUGACACAAAUUUCAAAUUUUUCCAUAAUUUUGCUUCAGCAAAGAAAAAUGGAAAUCUUAUAAGACAAAUCAAAGAUAAAAAUAACAAUUUGUUGGAGUUUGAGCACAUUGAGGUAGUUUUUCAUGAUUUUUUUGUGAAAAAAAUGGAAGGCUAGAGAAUGCAAGCUGACGGGUUGGCCUGCAUUUGCUAAAAACUAGAAAUUAUCUCAAUCACUUGUUGAUUUUAUGAAUGCAGAAUUUAUAAAGGAGUUAACCAAUGCUAUUUUUCAACAAGGUAAUAAUAAAUCUCCCGGUUUGGAUGGAAUUACUAUUUCAUUUUUUAAUUUUUAUUGGAACAUUGUGGAAGAAGUAACGUGGAAAGAAAUUGAUAGUUUUUUUAAAAUGGAUUUGAUGCAUGAUGAGUGGAAAAAUACAUUGAUUGUUUUAGUCCCCAAAAUGAAAAAACCAAUUGUUCCAGCUAAUUACAGACCUAUAAGUUUGUGUAAAACUACUUAUAAGUUGGUGGCAACUAUGAUAGUGAAUAGCUUGAAAGGAUGAAUCACAAAAUAAUUUCUGAAGAACAAGCAACAUUCAUUCCAGGGAGAUCGAUGUUUGAGCAUUAUUUGCUAGCUCGUGAGAUCUUCAACAAAUAUAGAAUCUCAAAAUAUAAGAAAGGCAUGAUGGAGGUCAAACUGGACAUGGAGCAAGCUUACAAUAGCAUGGGAUGGCCAACUUUCAAUCAAGUUUUAAAAUUAUUUGUAUUCCCUUUGAUGAUCUCCAAGCUAAUCAUGGAAUGUGUUAGGAAUGUCAGGUUUUUGUUUAUUUUGAAUGGGAAAUUUUCUAAUUGGAUUAAGGCAGAAAGUGGUUUUCGCCAAGGAUGCCCUCUAUCUCCUUAUUUUUUCAUCACGUGUUCUCAAUUAUUAUCAAUUGCAAUUGAACAAGGAGGACAAGAGUUUGGAGUUCAGAUUUCUCCCACAGCUCAAAAGGUUUGAAGGUAAACAAUUCAAAAUCUCAAAUCUAAUUCAGUUAUUCUACCAAGCGUUCAAGUAAGAAUCAAAUUAUGAGAAAAAUUAGGUUUCAAGGUGGUUAAAGAGCUGACUACUUGGGUGUUAAAAUUGUUUUGAGAAGAUUGACAAGAUCUGAUUUUCAAUGUGUGCUGGAUCAUGUUUUGCAAAAACUGAAUGCUUGGGGAAGCAAAUCUCUUUCAAUGGCUGGUAAGAUAAUUCUUGUAAAGUCUUCUCUUCUAUCACUACCAAACUUCUUAUCAACACACUCCUUGGUUCCAAAGAAAUUGUUGUAUGAAGUGGAUAAAUGUUGCAAAUAUUUUAUUUGGCAUAAAAGUAAUGGAAGGAAAGGGUUACAUUAUAUAUCAUGGGACAAAUUGUGUAAACCGAAAUCUGUUGGAGGCCUGGGUUUGCAUUUAGCUGCUCUUAGAGCUAGCUCUCUUAGAUCGAGAUUGGCUUGGAGAUUUAUUCAAAAUCAAGAUACUUUACUUCAUAGAAAUAUUAUUGCUAAGUAAGGUGAUAAUGUUUUGAAUGGUGAAAGCAAGAAAGGAGUCUUCUACGGCAUUGAAAAUUCUGAUACAUGGUGGAAAAUUUCUCAAACCUUUGUUAAGAUGGAAAGUGGUAGAUGGAAGGAGAAUUAAUGUUCUAAAAGACAUAUGGGUGUUAGAUAAAUGCUUGUGUACUUGGCCAACAUUUGCUGAUUGUGUAGGAUUGGAAGAUAUAAUGAUUCAUCAAUUCAUUUCAACAAAUGGCAGUUGGAAUGUGGAGGAGCUUCAAUGGUUCUUUCACGAGGAUCUUAUUUCGUUAAUCUUGCAAGUUCCUAUCAAUUAUACCAUUGAAUCUGACCAUGUGGAAGUUAUAUACCAUCAUACGGGAAGAUCUAUUGCUGCUCUUUCAUAUGAAGAGUCAUUAAACCGUUGUUCUAAGGAGGGGAAUUUGGAUAUUCAAAUUGGUUAAGGAAGCAUAAAUUGAAUCCUUGGGUGGAAUUAUUUUUGUGGAGGAUGAGUAAGUUUUCAAUCCCAACAAAUGAGUUUCUUAAACAUAGGAACUUAAGCCAUAAUGACGUAUGUGCAAGAGGGUGUCAAGAAGCGGAGAGUUAUGCUUAUAUUGCAAAUUCUUGAUUGAGAUUUUUUUGAAGUUACGAGAAUGGGGUUUUAACAUUCUGAAAUUUCAAUCAUUGGAAGAGUGCUUGCGAGAACUUAAAAGUCUUUCAAUUUUUUCUUCUAAUAUGGUGAAGAUGUAUUUUACUAUAGUUUUUAUAUCUUGGAAAAAUAAAAAUGAAGUAGUACACGGAAAGCCUAAUCUUUCGAGCUCAGUAGUUGCAACAAAUGUUUUAUCUACAGCCAUGAUACAUUCAUAUCCAAUACUAGAUAGUUGGGUGUUAAUCUCCUUAGGGAGUUUAAAAAUGUUUGGCACCUCCACCGCUAGGUUGGAUUAAAAUCAAUGUGGAUGCAUCUCUUUUGGAAUCAAACCUUGCUGGAAUUGGAGGUGUAUUUAGAGAUCAUGAAGGAAGAUUAUUACUUGCUUCUGGGGAAAAAAGAAUUCAUUGGGACGUGGCAGAACUUGAGAUGGCGGUUGUUUUGGCUAUAAGGAAAUUCAUUCAAAGUCUGAUGAUAGAUAGCAAAGGAGUAAUAAUUGAAGGUGAUAGCUUCAACAUCAUCAAGUUUAUUCAAGAUUCUUUGAGUAAAGCAAAGUGGCAAAACAACACUUGGAGCAUAAAGGAUUUAUUGUUUUUAAAUGAUUUUAAUAAGGUGAUCUUCCACCAUGUUCAUAGACAGUUUAAUAAAGUAGCUGAUCCUUGUGCUACUUUGGAUUUAGAGGAUAAUUUGUUUUUGGUAGUUUUUCUUUUAAUGACAUUCCUUCUUCUUUAUGUAGUUUGUUAAAGAAGGAAAAUGAAUGUGAGCCUUUUUUAGCUUGUAAUUAGUUCUUUUAUUAAUGCAUUUUUGCAAUUCU
Long non-coding RNA from Dendrobium catenatum, 6724 nucleotides. RefSeq lists it as uncharacterized. The record is from RefSeq and is a predicted model, not a curated record. Lineage: Eukaryota; Viridiplantae; Streptophyta; Magnoliopsida; Asparagales; Orchidaceae. The transcript has 2 exons.